RNAcentral lists this unclassified non-coding RNA (134 nucleotides) under uncultured Helotiales. RNAcentral's name for it is "sequence contains ITS1". Lineage: Eukaryota; Fungi; Ascomycota; Leotiomycetes; Helotiales. The record is from RNAcentral.
CAGAGUUCAUGCCCUUACGGGUAGAUCUCCCACCCUUGAAUAACAUACAUUGUUGCUUUGGCGGACGCUUCGGCAGCCGCCAGAGAACCCUAAACUCUUGUUUACAGUGUCGUCUGAGUACUAUAUAAUAGUUA